GCACUGGCGGUUCAGCGGUAGAAUUCUUGUCUUCCAAGCAGGAGACCUGGGUUCAACUCCCAGCUGACACA
This 71-nucleotide transfer RNA is filed under the name Loxodonta africana (African savanna elephant). It matches the Rfam family "tRNA". From Rfam's summary of the family: Transfer RNA (tRNA) molecules are approximately 80 nucleotides in length. Their secondary structure includes four short double-helical elements and three loops (D, anti-codon, and T loops). The record is from Rfam by way of RNAcentral. Lineage: Eukaryota; Metazoa; Chordata; Mammalia; Proboscidea; Elephantidae.